UUUGCAUCUCAUAUUUUGGUCUCCCUUUCUGUUACAUACAUCCCUUCUCAAUUACUUCAUUUCUUUUCACUUAUUUGGCUCCCCUGCUAUGAUAACCCUUGGUCACUCUACUCUCUUUUUAUCCUUUGGUUUAGAUUCUUACGGAUGUUUGUAGUGGUUAUGGUCCUCGGAGUCAGGCUUAUCAUUCUAUGUUGAAGACAUUUUGCGGCCUCUUCUUUGACUAGACUUUUAUGGUUAACUUGUUUAUUUGGUAUCUCAUGAGACAUACUGUUGGGAAGGAUCAAGAGGGUGUAGACGAGUAUGGGAGGGGUUCUGGGAGGAGAUUUUUGUUUAACUCACUUCAAUAGCCCAUUUGGUCAAUGCCACGAGUUUCAUGCAUGCAGAUUUUCUGUUGUUAUUUAUUACCAACAUUUGAGGUUCCUUCUUUGUCAGCAAGUAAAUACCAGAAUUUCUUGAAUUUUCAGUUAGGGUUUGUCUUCAGGUAAUCUAUUGCGAUUUAUCAUUGUUGAUGGUGGGUUGACCAUUGUUGACGGGAGGAUUCAGAGGGCAGAUUUACAUUACACUGGCAAGGUCAAUCCAGCUAGAGGAUAGUUACUCCAAGGUUAGCAAUUGUGCUAAAUAUCAUACUUGUAGGGUCAAAUCAUAUUCAUAAAAACUAAUUGACAAUUAGUUUUAUGAAUAAUUACUGCCGUUUCUUUUAAAUGCCAUGAAUUUAUCCAGAUCAUAAUUUUAGGUAGAAUACUUGUGCGCUGUUAUUUGUUUACUUUGUUUCUAGCCAUUUAUGGAAAAGCCACAUAUGCUGGUUGUGUUUCAAUACGCGGCUCGUUGCUCACUUUUAAGAAUAGAUUAUCCAUUAUCACCCAUCAAUCAUCGAAUGAUUGGAGAAGAUAAUGUUACUGAAAUUGUUGGAUAGUGGUCGAUAGCCCUAGGGGCGGAGCUAGACAUUUUCCUGCAUGAAACUCAGGCAGCUUUCUGUUAAAUCAAGUUGAGAAAUACUUUCUCUAUUCUUGAAACCGAAAAAUUCAUGGUAUUCAACGUGGUUCAAAUUGAAAAGUUGGUGAAUCCUUCGCUGGAAACUACUGAGUCCUUUUAGAGCAACCUUCAGGUGCUGACCUUUCAUCAAGGAUUCUAGAGUUGGUUUUCAAUUUACGGUAUGUAUUCAGCUUAGCGACGUUGACAACUUAAAGGCUGGCUGGCUUAAGCACAACAAAUUGUUUCUGUAACAAUCAAUGAAAGGAACGACAAUCAGUUCUUGAGGUUC
Long non-coding RNA from Cucurbita maxima (winter squash), 1261 nucleotides. RefSeq lists it as uncharacterized. The transcript is spliced from 3 exons. Lineage: Eukaryota; Viridiplantae; Streptophyta; Magnoliopsida; Cucurbitales; Cucurbitaceae. The record is from RefSeq and is a predicted model, not a curated record.